UGCAUGUAUAUUAACAUUAUUCAACCAAUUAUUAUAUAAAAUAGUUUACUUAUAAAUCCAAUUUUAUAAAAUAUUUAAAUCUUAAUCCAAAAAUCAUUUUAUUGUAAUACAUUUUAACUUAAAUAUUAUCUGCACCUUGACCUGACUUAUUUCAUUAUAUGAAAUAUAAAAAAUAUUUUAAAAAAUUUUUUUAAGACGGAGAUAUACAAAAUAAACAAUUUAAGUAAGAUAUUUGUGGAUUAUCAAUUAAAAAACAUAUUCCUCUAAUUAGAAUAUACACCGCCAAAUUCUUUAAGUUUCCUGACCAAAUCAUUUACUACUCAAAAUUAAAUUUAUGUUAAUUA
This 344-nucleotide ribosomal RNA is filed under the name Loensia variegata. RNAcentral describes it as "partial 12S ribosomal RNA". The record is from RNAcentral. Lineage: Eukaryota; Metazoa; Arthropoda; Insecta; Psocodea; Psocidae.